CAGGGAGACAACAAAAUGUUUAAUUUUAUUAUUUUGUCACCUUAGGUCGAUCGGUAUCUCACGUUCUUAAUUUAUUAAGAAUUUCAUUUCCUAAGUUUUUCUAGGUCACACCCAUUAUUUUCCUGGGCCAUUAGCUCAGGUGGUUAGAGCGCACCCCUGAUAAGGGUGAGGUCCCUGGUUCAAGUCCAGGAUGGCCCAUAUCUCUAUGUUGGGGGUAUAGCUCAGUUGGUAGAGCGCCUGCUUUGCAAGCAGGAUGUCAGCGGUUCGAGUCCGCUUACCUCCACUGAUUACCACCUCUUCCAUAAUCUAUAGAAAGGAAAAUUUUUUGUGUUGUGAUCAUAAAUCUGAACGAAUCUAGCUUCCUAAUGAAACCAUUAAGAUGCUGGACUCAUUGAAUUAAUUUCAUUGUUUUCAGAGAACCUUGACAACUGCAUAGAUUAUUUUUAAAGACAAUAAGCAUCUUUAAUGAUGCAGAUUUAUUAUUUGUGCAAAUGCAUUAAUAACAAUUCUAUUAAGCUGAUGCUUCAAUUUUGAAGUUAUU
This 541-nucleotide transfer RNA is filed under the name uncultured Prochlorococcus sp. Its description in RNAcentral is "partial 16S-23S ribosomal RNA intergenic spacer". The stretch from base 211 to 283 matches the Rfam family "tRNA". The record is from RNAcentral. Lineage: Bacteria; Bacillati; Cyanobacteriota; Cyanophyceae; Synechococcales; Prochlorococcaceae.